Molecule: small RNA, 766 nt
Filed under: Pongo abelii (Sumatran orangutan)
Lineage: Eukaryota; Metazoa; Chordata; Mammalia; Primates; Hominidae
Description: retained intron
Source: RNAcentral
CUGUGAUAGCCAUUCUGUGGGAGGCACAGCAGUGUGCAGAAAGUUAAUGUCUCCACAGCAAACCGUGGGGAACUGUGGGUCAGAGACUCUCCAGCAUCCUUGGAAGUGGCCUCUUCACAGUCACCUGAGAACCUGGAGGAAGAUGCUGUUUACAAGACCCACGUGGAGAAGGACUUCAUUGCUUUUUGCUCUUCAACACCACACAACGUGUCCUGGAGAGACAGCACAAUGGGCUCUAUCUUCAUCACACAACUCAUCACAUGCUUCCAGAAAUAUUCUUGGUGCUGCCACCUAGAGGAAGUAUUUCGGAAGGUAAGUGUCUCUUUUCUAGUUAUUCAUUUAUUUCUUCAGGAAGAAUUUGUCAUGAUUCACCUUUUACUUCACAAUGACAAUCUUUGUCAGGGAAGUGAAAGUAGAGAGGUACCUAGUUUCUGUCAUUCAGUUGUUUAAAAUAUGGCUAAGGAAAAGACAAUUCCAAUAUAUCCCAGCAGAAGAUCAAAGUAAAAUAAUAUCAACCAUAAGCUUUAUGUUAUGGACUGUAUGUUCUUAAGUUUUAGAGAAGGAAAAAUAUUUUGAAAUAAUUUUUAUUUCUUAAUUUAUUAAAUGAAUAAAAUCUGGGUGGUCUGCUAGGUCAUGGAUUUCCUCCUGGUGACAGAGGGGUAAAUCAGGCCUACAUGACGUAAUCCUAUCUAGGACUCACAUUUUCGUGGGAGAUAUGGAUACUGAAAAUGUGGGUUAACAAACAAAUAUGUGCUCACAGAUUGUG